UACGUAGGGGGCAAGCGUUGUCCGGAAUCAUUGGGCGUAAAGAGCGUGUAGGCGGUCCGGUAAGUCCGCUGUGAAAGUCGGGGGCUCAACCCUCGGAUGCCGGUGGAUACUGUCGGGCUUGAGUACGGAAGAGGCGAGUGAAUUCCUGGUGUAGCGGUGAAAUGCGCAGAUAUCAGGAGGAACACCAAUUGCGAAGGCAGCUCGCUGGGACGUUACUGACGCUGAGACGCGAAAGCGUGGGGAGCAAACAGG
Molecule: ribosomal RNA, 252 nt
Filed under: uncultured bacterium
Lineage: Bacteria
Description: partial 16S ribosomal RNA
Rfam family: Bacterial small subunit ribosomal RNA
Source: RNAcentral